AUAUUUCUUCGGGGCAGGGUGUAAUUCCCGACCGACGGUGACGAGUUUACUCGAAGUCCGUGAACCACAUUUUUGUGGUUGAGCUAGUGAAAAUCUGGCACCGACAGUUAAAGUCUGGAUGGGAGAAGAAAAAU
Enterococcus mundtii is the source of this 134-nucleotide non-coding RNA. The record is from Rfam. Lineage: Bacteria; Bacillati; Bacillota; Bacilli; Lactobacillales; Enterococcaceae.